This 90-nucleotide non-coding RNA is filed under the name unclassified sequences. The record is from RNAcentral.
AAAUAACUGCCACCGGGUAGUAGCAAUGCUCAGGCAUUUUCCGUUUAUACCGUUAGGUCUUUGAAGGUAUAACAGAAAGUGCUAUUUUUU